RNAcentral lists this ribosomal RNA (394 nucleotides) under uncultured bacterium. RNAcentral's name for it is "partial 16S ribosomal RNA". It matches the Rfam family "Bacterial small subunit ribosomal RNA", at positions 523 to 918 of the family's 1533-position model. The record is from RNAcentral.
AUACGGAGGAUGCAAGCGUUAUCCGGAUUUAUUGGGUUUAAAGGGUGCGUAGGCGGAUGAUUAAGCGUGAGGUGAAAUGCCACUGCUCAACAGUGGAACUGCCUCGCGAACUGGUUGUCUUGAAUGCUCCUGCCGUGGGCGGAAUGUGUGGUGUAGCGGUGAAAUGCAUAGAGAUCACACAGAACACCGAUUGCGACGGCAUCUCACGAAGCAGUGAGAUGCGCUGAGGCACGAAAGCGUGGGGAUCAACCAGGAUUAGAUACCCCGGUAGUACACGAAGUAAACGAUGAUAACUCACCGAUGGGUCGUAGUGUAUCAUUGGCCAAGCGAAAACGAUUAGGGAUACCCCUGGGCAGUUCGAUCGCAAGGUGGAAACUCACAUGCAUGGACGGGG